AGCUUUGCGCAGUGGCAGUAUCGUAGCCAAUGAGGUUUAUCCGAGGCGCGAUUAUUGCUAAUUGAGAUUGUGAUCAGACCUUUGAAACUACCAAACUCCCCCACAAGAGGCUCUGUUUCCUUUUUCUGGAAUGUUUUUUUCUUAUUCCUUUCCUCAGUUAAAC
This 163-nucleotide small nuclear RNA is filed under the name Canis lupus familiaris (dog). RNAcentral describes it as "U4 spliceosomal RNA (ENSCAFG00030018155.1, ENSCAFG00845002419.1)". The stretch from base 1 to 69 matches the Rfam family "U4 spliceosomal RNA". The record is from Rfam by way of RNAcentral. Lineage: Eukaryota; Metazoa; Chordata; Mammalia; Carnivora; Canidae.